Molecule: ribosomal RNA, 1100 nt
Filed under: Escherichia coli 2-460-02_S4_C1
Lineage: Bacteria; Pseudomonadati; Pseudomonadota; Gammaproteobacteria; Enterobacterales; Enterobacteriaceae
Description: bacterial SSU rRNA
Rfam family: Bacterial small subunit ribosomal RNA
Source: RNAcentral
AGAGUUUGAUCAUGGCUCAGAUUGAACGCUGGCGGCAGGCCUAACACAUGCAAGUCGAACGGUAACAGGAAGAAGCUUGCUUCUUUGCUGACGAGUGGCGGACGGGUGAGUAAUGUCUGGGAAACUGCCUGAUGGAGGGGGAUAACUACUGGAAACGGUAGCUAAUACCGCAUAACGUCGCAAGACCAAAGAGGGGGACCUUCGGGCCUCUUGCCAUCGGAUGUGCCCAGAUGGGAUUAGCUUGUUGGUGGGGUAACGGCUCACCAAGGCGACGAUCCCUAGCUGGUCUGAGAGGAUGACCAGCCACACUGGAACUGAGACACGGUCCAGACUCCUACGGGAGGCAGCAGUGGGGAAUAUUGCACAAUGGGCGCAAGCCUGAUGCAGCCAUGCCGCGUGUAUGAAGAAGGCCUUCGGGUUGUAAAGUACUUUCAGCGGGGAGGAAGGGAGUAAAGUUAAUACCUUUGCUCAUUGACGUUACCCGCAGAAGAAGCACCGGCUAACUCCGUGCCAGCAGCCGCGGUAAUACGGAGGGUGCAAGCGUUAAUCGGAAUUACUGGGCGUAAAGCGCACGCAGGCGGUUUGUUAAGUCAGAUGUGAAAUCCCCGGGCUCAACCUGGGAACUGCAUCUGAUACUGGCAAGCUUGAGUCUCGUAGAGGGGGGUAGAAUUCCAGGUGUAGCGGUGAAAUGCGUAGAGAUCUGGAGGAAUACCGGUGGCGAAGGCGGCCCCCUGGACGAAGACUGACGCUCAGGUGCGAAAGCGUGGGGAGCAAACAGGAUUAGAUACCCUGGUAGUCCACGCCGUAAACGAUGUCGACUUGGAGGUUGUGCCCUUGAGGCGUGGCUUCCGGAGCUAACGCGUUAAGUCGACCGCCUGGGGAGUACGGCCGCAAGGUUAAAACUCAAAUGAAUUGACGGGGGCCCGCACAAGCGGUGGAGCAUGUGGUUUAAUUCGAUGCAACGCGAAGAACCUUACCUGGUCUUGACAUCCACAGAACUUUCCAGAGAUGGAUUGGUGCCUUCGGGAACUGUGAGACAGGUGCUGCAUGGCUGUCGUCAGCUCGUGUUGUGAAAUGUUGGGUUAAGUCCCGCAACGAGC